Molecule: long non-coding RNA, 2134 nt
Organism: Musa acuminata AAA Group (dessert banana)
Lineage: Eukaryota; Viridiplantae; Streptophyta; Magnoliopsida; Zingiberales; Musaceae
Exons: 2
Source: RefSeq, a predicted model, not a curated record
UCAACGACAUGCUUGUGGCUUCAGCUUCGCUGAAUCAGUCUUCAUCAGCUCCACUACCGAUGGGUAGUAAGCUUUGGGAGCUAUCCUUUGAGCUUUGCAUCUUUGUUGAAGUCGUCAACAGGAAUUAACUAUUUUGGUCCUGCACACGAAGAUUAAAAGAAAGAACAUAGUGGGGAUGUCAUUUUCUUUGAUGGCUGGAGUGCUUGCAUUCUUCCUAUCAAAGUCAUUGCUUGAUUGCAACCCCUGCCGGCCUUUGCUGCUAUCAGAUUCAAAGCUGUCUCUUUGCCCGGCAAAUUAUUCACCUGUCUAUGUCCCACCUGUUUCUUCCCUCACACAAUGCCAAUUCGAUCUCUUCUCGUGCUCCACAGAAGAGUGGAGAGAAAAGAAACGAGGAAGAACAAGAUCAUCCAAGUCCUACUAUUCCUGCAUCUACCACAGGUGCAGCUCACUCGGGACCUUUAACAGCAUCUUAGGAUCAUGAGGGCGCUAUCACCGGAGGCUUUAAGAGCUCCUUCGUGCUUUCUAAUAAGGCAGUGCAACUCCAAAGCAUUCGAAUGGAAGAAAGUGACAUCCAUCUAUGCUUCCCAGCUUCUCCUUGCUAUAGAAGCAUCGAGGAAUCUGAAAUUUGUGGUGCAGAAAUGGAUUCGUACACGACAAGAUCAGUGCAAGGAUAUUGGAGUCAUUUUAGGUGGAGAAAAAUAUGCUACUGCUUCAUUCACCUUCCUACCUCUUUCCUCCUCCCUUCUUUACGCUGCAAUUAAACUUCCGACAUCCUUCUGCAUCUUACUGCGCCCAGCUGCCAUUAUAAGAGUGAUCAGAGGGACAGGGGAAGAGGAAACAGCAGCUCGGAAUGAGGUUGGUUGUGUGUGGGCAGCAGAAGGAGAAUUCCAAAGGGAUCGCAUUGAUCUCUGUCUGCUGAACAGUUUUGAGCGGUCAUGCGAUUCCUCUGGAAUUUCCCAUCUGUUGCUGAAUGUUCCUCCCUCUCUACUCGGCUUGGAAAGCUCAUCGUCCAGGUAUUUUGCUGUUCUUUCAUGGUAGAUCGAGAAGCAUUUUCUCACACGGAUAUCUCGAUCUUUUCGUGGGGAUUUAGAGUUUCACACGAUCAGCAUCCUUCUUCGUAUUGCUGAUCUAUUGCUCUAUUGCUCCUCCACUCAAACCCUCGAAGAAUUAAGUUCCUGAGUUGGCUCUGAUAGAAAUGAAUGACUGUUAUCAGGCUCGAGUGGCGAUUCCUCGACAUCAUCUUUACUGAGUUCUUCCCGAAGCAAGAAAACGUCCAUGAUCCUAUCGAAGAGACAGAUCGAUUUAAAUGACAUGUGAAAACGAAUCGUGUAACUCGAGGAAGAAAGAUCAGAGAAAACUAACCAACUUCUUCUUCUUCUUCUUCUUCUUCUUCUUCUUCUUCUUCUUCUUCUUCUUCUUCUUCUUCUUCUUCUUCUUAUCUGGUAUCCAUCAGCUUCUGCUGUAGAGAAUUUAAUGAUGAACAAAAGUGGACUCAAGAUCGUUUUAGGCAAUUUCUAUAUGAGCAGCCAAAAAUGGCACUGAAGAAGCAAAGCUGAAGCGAUCUGUAGAAUGAAGCAGAAGCUUCGUCGAACCAGUCUGCAUGCAGGUGUUGUUCUAUUAAGAGCUCCACUUCUUUAAUGACCUUAACUGGCUUCAAACUAUCAUUGAACAUAUGGUGUGGUAGCAUUGAGACUCCAGUUCAAGAUACAAAGAAGAUUCAGAAGAGGAGCUACGUUCCGCUGCGUCUUAAUUUGCCGAAACCCUUUUCCCCAUCCUUCACACGGCCAUGGAUGGCCGUGAAGGUGUGAUGAGUACGUUGAGGGGUUUGUCUUUGAGUGUAGGACAAGUAGGGGAGGGUGUCAUAUAUCCAUAGGCUGGGCCGAACCCUACUGCGGUGGUCCUUUGUCUCCCACAGCUGAAUUGAGUGUGGCCGGUCUCAUCGAUGGGAAGCCUUUUGGGACCACCAUGAUUGAUGCAGGAUGAUCCUCCAAGUCAUUCCAUGGCUUGCUGCUGGUGGAAGCACGGUCGCUGCACAACAAGUCAGACACGAGAGAAUCUAGUCAUGAUUGGAGUCAUAGAAAUACUCUCUUCUUUAAUUAGUUUAUAUCAGUUUAUCAAAGAAAAGUUGAUGAUA